RNAcentral lists this ribosomal RNA (253 nucleotides) under uncultured bacterium. RNAcentral's name for it is "partial 16S ribosomal RNA". It matches the Rfam family "Bacterial small subunit ribosomal RNA", at positions 524 to 776 of the family's 1533-position model. The record is from RNAcentral.
GACGUAGGGUGCGAGCGUUGUCCGGAUUUAUUGGGCGUAAAGAGCUCGUAGGCGGCCCGUCGCGUCGACCGUGAAAACCCGCGGCUUAACUGCGGGCUUGCGGUUGAUACGGGCGGGCUAGAGUUCGGUAGGGGAGACUGGAAUUCCUGGUGUAGCGGUGAAAUGCGCAGAUAUCAGGAGGAACACCGGUGGCGAAGGCGGGUCUCUGGGCCGAUACUGACGCUGAGGAGCGAAAGCGUGGGGAGCGAACAGG